UUUGCAUUGCCGGAGCUCUCUGUGGUAGGCCACGUCCCCGCCUCACAUGAAAGGACAAAUCAGAAGGUACCUAUUACACGUCUGUGAGGAGAGAAACAAAGGCGCACAAUGCUGACACCCUCCUACUAACUUGGAUUUUAAUGAGCACCAGCCAAUCAGGACUCUUGUUCCCUUGGUGCGGGCAUUUACAAUGUCAUUUCCGAAACACCUCUUUUUGGAGCCUGUUUGUCAACUGGUAGAAAAAAAUAGGAUAGAAGCACCUUCUACUGCUGGACCAGACGGGGCAGAAAAAUAUGUCACUUGCAAACUGAAGUGUCUCUGGGCAUAAAUGUAACAGUCACUUAAGCUCAAUCAAUUAAAGCACCUGUCUUGGUACUGUUUAUCUGGAGGUCAAAUUUGAAAAGGCAGCAGCUGGCAAAAAAAAAUGUUCAUGGACAGAUGUGUAUAAUUUGUUUAACCGCCUCCCCCCCCCAUUUUUUCCUCGUAGCCAAUACUUGACUGAAUUGUGAGGCUUAGGACCAUCAAUUUCUCAGUUGUUUGAGAUGUAGAAAACUGGAAUGGAGGUCAAGUUAUAACUGGUUUGUCCCUCCUCUCCUUAUAAUCUAAAUUUUGGCAUGGUUAUUUUGUUUGAGUUAUUUGCCAUGUGUUACUUUAAUCUCCCUGUGGUGUGUCAGUUUUGUACCCUUCUUAUUCAGAUAAAUGUUUCCACUAAACUGGUGAGCAU
This is a long non-coding RNA of Gavialis gangeticus (Gharial), 724 nucleotides long. RefSeq lists it as uncharacterized. Lineage: Eukaryota; Metazoa; Chordata; Crocodylia; Gavialidae. The record is from RefSeq and is a predicted model, not a curated record. The transcript has 3 exons.